AGAGUUUGAUCAUGGCUCAGGAUAAACGUUUGCGGCGUGCCUGAUGCAUGCAAGUCGAACGCCCCAAUUUUUCGCAAGAUUGAUUGGGGAGUGGCGAACGGCUGAGUAACACGUAAGUAACCUGUCCCUAAGUGGGGGAUAACUUGCCGAAAGGCAGGCUAAUACCGCAUGUGCUGGUAAGCGACAGCUUAUCAGUAAAGCUUUUGCGCUUGAGGAGGGGCUUGCGUCUGAUUAGCUAGUUGGUAGGGUAAUGGCCUACCAAGGCGAUGAUCAGUAGCUGGCCUGAGAGGACAACCAGCCAGACGGGGACUGAGAUACGGCCCUGACUCCUACGGGAGGCAGCAGCAAGGAAUUUUGCGCAAUGGGCGAAAGCUUGACGCAGCGACGCCGCGUGGGGGAUGACGGCCUUCGGGUUGUAAACCCCUUUUCUAGAGGAAGAAAUCUGACGGUACUCUAGGAAUAAGUCUUGGCUAACUACGUGCCAGCAGCCGCGGUAAUACGUAGAAGGCGAACGUUAUCCGGAUUUACUGGGCGUAAAGCGGGUGUAGACGGUUUUUUAAGUCAGUUGUGAAAUCUCCUAACUCAAUUGGGAGGCUGCAAUUGAUACUGGAGAACUUGAGGGCAUCAGAAGAAAGCAGAAUUCACGGUGUAGCGGUGAAAUGCGUAGAUAUCGUGAGGAAUACCAGUGGCGCAAGCGGCUUUCUAGGAUGCUCCUGACGUUGAGGCCCGAAAGUGUGGGGGAGCGAAACGGAUUAGAUACCCGUGUAGUCCACACCCUAAACGUUGAAUACUAGGUAUAGGGGGUAUCGACCCUCUCUGUGCCGAAGCUAACGCUUUAAGUAUUCCGCCUGGGGACUACGGCCACAAGGCUAAAACUCAAAGGAAUUGACGG
Molecule: ribosomal RNA, 892 nt
Filed under: bacterium enrichment culture clone L35B_24
Lineage: Bacteria
Description: bacterial SSU rRNA
Rfam family: Bacterial small subunit ribosomal RNA
Source: RNAcentral